CGAGGACGAACGCUGGCGGCGUGCUUAACACAUGCAAGUCGAACGGAACACCCUUGACAGAGGUUCGGCCAAUGAAGAGGAAUGUUUAGUGGCGGACUGGUGAGUAACGCGUGAGGAACCUGCCUUUCAGAGGGGGACAACAGUUGGAAACGACUGCUAAUACCGCAUGAAGCAGCGAGGGGACAUCCCCUUGCUGUCAAAGAUUUAUCGCUGAAAGAUGGCCUCGCGUCUGAUUAGCUAGUUGGUGGGGUAACGGCCCACCAAGGCGACGAUCAGUAGCCGGACUGAGAGGUUGACCGGCCACAUUGGGACUGAGAUACGGCCCAGACUCCUACGGGAGGCAGCAGUGGGGAAUAUUGGGCAAUGGACGCAAGUCUGACCCAGCAACGCCGCGUGAAGGAAGAAGGCUUUCGGGUUGUAAACUUCUUUUAACAGGGAAGAGAAGAAGACGGUACCUGUUGAAUAAGCCACGGCUAACUACGUGCCAGCCGCCGC
RNAcentral lists this ribosomal RNA (495 nucleotides) under uncultured bacterium. RNAcentral describes it as "bacterial SSU rRNA". It matches the Rfam family "Bacterial small subunit ribosomal RNA", at positions 26 to 518 of the family's 1533-position model. The record is from RNAcentral.